Molecule: small nucleolar RNA, 130 nt
Organism: Nannospalax galili (Upper Galilee mountains blind mole rat)
Lineage: Eukaryota; Metazoa; Chordata; Mammalia; Rodentia; Spalacidae
Source: Ensembl
GCUGAUGUCUGCUAAUGAGCCUUCUCCUGUAGACUCAUACUACUGGAAACUCCUUACAGAGUAACUCUGUGGUUUUACUUUAUUCACAGGAUUAUUUUUUAGCUUUGUCAGAAGGAACCAGAAGACAGUU